RNAcentral lists this ribosomal RNA (473 nucleotides) under uncultured bacterium. Its description in RNAcentral is "bacterial SSU rRNA". It matches the Rfam family "Bacterial small subunit ribosomal RNA", at positions 29 to 507 of the family's 1533-position model. The record is from RNAcentral.
AAUGAACGUUGGCGGCGUGGAUUAGGCAUGCAAGUCGUGCGAGAAGUUUCCUGCUUGCAGGAGACGGAAAGCGGCGAAAGGGAGAGUAACGCGUGGAUAUCUGCCCUCAGACCCGGGAUAGCGUCGGGAAACUGACGGUAAUACCGGAUAAUGUCUCCGGACCAAAGGUGUGAUUCCGUCUGAGGAUGAGUCCGCGUCCUAUUAGCUUGUUGGUGGGGUAACGGCCUACCAAGGCAUAGAUGGGUACCGGGUGUGAGAGCAUGGCCCGGCUCACUGGGACUGAGACACUGCCCCAGACACCUACGGGUGGCUGCAGUCGAGAAUCUUCGGCAAUGAGCGCAAGCUUGACCGAGCGACGCUGCGUGCGGGAUGAAGGCCUUCGGGUUGUAAACCGCUGUCAGAGGGGAGGAAAUGCUGGAGGGCACUCUCUCCAGUUUGACCGAUCCUCAGAGGAAGUACGGGCUAAGUUCGUG